UACGUAGGUGACAAGCGUUGUCCGGAUUUACUGGGCGUAAAGAGCGCGCAGGCGGUCGUUCAAGUCGAGCGUGAAAGCCCCCGGCUCAACUGGGGAGGGUCACUCGAUACUGAUCGACUCGAAGGCAGGAGAGGGAAGUGGAAUUCCCGGUGUAGUGGUGAAAUGCGUAGAUAUCGGGAGGAACACCAGUGGCGAAGGCGACUUCCUGGCCUGUUCUUGACGCUGAGGCGCGAAAGCUAGGGGAGCAAACGGG
This 253-nucleotide ribosomal RNA is filed under the name uncultured bacterium. RNAcentral's name for it is "partial 16S ribosomal RNA". It matches the Rfam family "Bacterial small subunit ribosomal RNA", at positions 524 to 776 of the family's 1533-position model. The record is from RNAcentral.